This 999-nucleotide long non-coding RNA is filed under the name Homo sapiens (human). Its description in RNAcentral is "HSALNT0294839". Lineage: Eukaryota; Metazoa; Chordata; Mammalia; Primates; Hominidae. The record is from RNAcentral.
GAACUUAAACCAGAGGGAAAUAAAUCCUAUGCUUUGAAAGCCCCUAGAAGAGUAAGCCCCCUCAAGCCCAGGAAAAGAGGCAGAGGACACCCGGCGCAGAGGGAGGCGAUCCUAGACACAACCUUUUGUCUGCAGAUUAUCAAGACUGUGUCCUAGAUUCCAAGGUGACAGUGCCACAGUGUCCUGGUGACCAGUUUUCUAUUUCUUCAUCUUCCAUGGUGGAGACAUGCCCAUUGAGGAUAAAAUAAAGAACUAAGGAGACAGCCCGCAUCACACAACAUUUCACUCAGCUGUGUCGCUGAGCACUGACAAACUCAAUUUACGAAAGGCAAGAGUGAGUUGACACCAUGCUGUGGCAGUUGUCCUGAUGGGAGGAAACGACUCAUUUCCUUCCAAGGUAGAAUCCACCUUCUCUGAGAAGCAUGCUUGUGCACAAGAGUACUGAAGACAAGGAGGAACUGUACAGAAGAAGAUGCAGGAGGUCUGAAGGGAAGUCAGAGACAAAAGAAGGAAGGAAGCAAGCAAGCACUGCUCAUGGAAUGGUCUGACAGCCCCAGGCUCGAGAAUGUGUCUCUCCCAAGUACUCUGUCACCCUGGUAACCAUGGAGACCAUGACGAUCGAUUAGAUGCCAUCUGAUCUCAACCUUAUAAAAAAAAAGGCAGCAGAUGGCAACCAGGCCACUAGACCUGUCUCAAGAGAGACGAAGAGGAAGAGCGAGAAAGAAAAGGAAGGAGGGAGAAAGGGGAGGAGGUGGGGGUGGGUUGGCGCAGGGAGAAGAGAGCCCAGAAGCAGCUCUGGAAAUGAAAAUUUUAGAAAAGAAUGAAAAUAGAAAACAAGGAAAGCAAUGGAAAAAAAGAAACUAAAACCCAUUGUGUGAUAGACCUCUACAGUGAGUUGUGGGAAGAUAAUUCUACAGAGAAAGCGAAUCAGCUGUCUCCUAACUUUCCACUUUUAUACAGAAUGGUGUGGAACCCGGGCCCCAAGGCUUCUCUGAGGGA